This 793-nucleotide ribosomal RNA is filed under the name Methanosaeta sp. enrichment culture clone L35A3_42. RNAcentral's name for it is "bacterial SSU rRNA". It matches the Rfam family "Archaeal small subunit ribosomal RNA", at positions 85 to 879 of the family's 1478-position model. Lineage: Archaea; Methanobacteriati; Methanobacteriota; Methanomicrobia; Methanotrichales; Methanotrichaceae. RNAcentral also lists the same sequence under 1 other name. The record is from RNAcentral.
ACGGCUCAGUAACACGUGGACAACCUGCCCUUAGGACGGGGAUAAACCCGGGAAACUGGGUAUAAUACCCGAUAGGUCUCGAUUGCUGGAAUGCAUCGAGAUUUAAAGCUCCGGCGCCUAAGGAUGGGUCUGCGGCCUAUCAGGUAGUAGUGGGUGUAGCGUACCUACUAGCCUACGACGGGUACGGGUUGUGAGAGCAAGAGCCCGGAGAUGGAUUCUGAGACACGAAUCCAGGCCCUACGGGGUGCAGCAGGCGCGAAAACUUUACAAUGCUGGCAACAGCGAUAAGGGAACCUCGAGUGCCAGGUUACAAAUCUGGCUGUCGAGAUGCCUAAAAAGCAUUUCAUAGCAAGGGCCGGGCAAGACCGGUGCCAGCCGCCGCGGUAACACCGGCGGCUCGAGUGGUAACCGUUAUUAUUGGGUCUAAAGGGUCUGUAGCCGGCCGGAUAAGUCUCUUGAGAAAUCUGGCAGCUUAACUGUCAGGCUUUCAGGAGAUACUGUCUGGCUCGAGGCCGGGAGAGGUGAGAGGUACUUCAGGGGUAGGGGUGAAAUCUUGUAAUCCUUGAAGGACCACCAGUGGCGAAGGCGUCUCACCAGAACGGACCUGACGGCAAGGGACGAAAGCUAGGGGCACGAACCGGAUUAGAUACCCGGGUAGUCCUAGCCGUAAACGAUACUCGCUAGGUGUCGGCCACGGUGCGACCGUUGUCGGUGCCGUAGGGAAGCCGUGAAGCGAGCCACCUGGGAAGUACGGCCGCAAGGCUGAAACCUAAAGGAAUUGGCGGGGGAGCAC